Molecule: ribosomal RNA, 253 nt
Filed under: uncultured bacterium
Lineage: Bacteria
Description: partial 16S ribosomal RNA
Rfam family: Bacterial small subunit ribosomal RNA
Source: RNAcentral
UACGUAGGGGGCUAGCGUUGUCCGGAAUCAUUGGGCGUAAAGCGCGUGUAGGCGGUCCGGUAAGUCCGCUGUGAAAGUCGGGGGCUCAACCCUCGAAUGCCGGUGGAUACUGUCGGGCUAGAGUGCGGAAAAGGCGAGUGGAAUUCCUGGUGUAGCGGUGAAAUGCGCAGAUAUCAGGAGGAACACCGAUGGCGAAGGCAGGUCUCUGGGCCACUACUGACGCUGAGAAGCGAAAGCAUGGGGAGCGAACAGG